This 253-nucleotide ribosomal RNA is filed under the name uncultured bacterium. RNAcentral describes it as "partial 16S ribosomal RNA". It matches the Rfam family "Bacterial small subunit ribosomal RNA", at positions 524 to 776 of the family's 1533-position model. The record is from RNAcentral.
UCCGAAGGGGGCUAGCGUUGCUCGGAAUCACUGGGCGUAAAGCGCACGUAGGCGGACUCUUAAGUCGGGGGUGAAAUCCUGGAGCUCAACUCCAGAACUGCCUUCGAUACUGAGAGCCUUGAGUCCGGGAGAGGUGAGUGGAACUGCGAGUGUAGAGGUGAAAUUCGUAGAUAUUCGCAAGAACACCAGUGGCGAAGGCGGCUCACUGGCCCGGUACUGACGCUGAGGUGCGAAAGCGUGGGGAGCAAACAGG